UACGUAGGGGGCGAGCGUUGUCCGGAUUUAUUGGGCGUAAAGAGCUCGUAGGCGGUUCGGUAAGUCGGAUGUGAAAUCUCCACGCUCAACGUGGAGGGGCCAUUCGAUACUGCCGUGACUCGAGUCCGGUAGGGGAGUGUGGAAUUCCCGGUGUAGCGGUGAAAUGCGCAGAGAUCGGGAGGAACACCCGUAGCGAAGGCGGCACUCUGGGCCGGUACUGACGCUGAGGAGCGAAAGCGUGGGGAGCGAA
This 250-nucleotide ribosomal RNA is filed under the name uncultured bacterium. RNAcentral's name for it is "partial 16S ribosomal RNA". It matches the Rfam family "Bacterial small subunit ribosomal RNA", at positions 524 to 772 of the family's 1533-position model. The record is from RNAcentral.